GGGCCCGCACAAGCGGUGGAGUAUGUGGUUUAAUUCGAUGAUACGCGAGGAACCUUACCAGGGCUUAAAUGGGAGAUGACAGGGGCAGAGACGCCCUUUUCUUCGGACAUCUUUCAAGGUGCUGCAUGGUUGUCGUCAGCUCGUGCCGUGAGGUGUCAGGUUAAGUCCUAUAACGAGCGCAACCCCUACCGUUAGUUGCCAGCGAUUCAAGUCGGGGACUCUAACGGGACUGCCGGUGCAAACCGUGAGGAAGGUGGGGACGACGUCAAAUCAUCACGGCCCUUACGUCCUGGGCUACACACGUGCUACAAUGGUCGGUACAGGAGGGAAGCUACCCCGUAAGGGAUGCGGAUCUAUAAAACCGAUCUCAGUUCGGAUCGGGGUCUGCAACUCGACCCCGUGAAGCUGGAAUCGCUAGUAAUCG
This 424-nucleotide ribosomal RNA is filed under the name uncultured bacterium. RNAcentral's name for it is "bacterial SSU rRNA". It matches the Rfam family "Bacterial small subunit ribosomal RNA", at positions 917 to 1344 of the family's 1533-position model. The record is from RNAcentral.